Molecule: non-coding RNA, 213 nt
Filed under: Porphyromonas macacae
Lineage: Bacteria; Pseudomonadati; Bacteroidota; Bacteroidia; Bacteroidales; Porphyromonadaceae
Source: RNAcentral
UAUCUUUGUCACCGUUAAGGUUCCCAGGUAACAAACUGUUGCUAAGGAUUAAAAGGGAAUGCCGUGCAAGUCGGCAACAGUUCCCGCUGCUGUAAGGUUGACGACCUCUUGUGAGAGGCUUGUUAGUAUCGAUCUUUUGCCACUAUUUCCGGAAGGAAUGGGAAGGCAGAUACGUAACCGAGUCAGAAGACCUGCCUUAACAGUAUAUAUUAA